ACGAACGCUGGCGGCGUGCUUAACACAUGCCAGUCGAACGGAAAGGCCCUGCUUUUGUGGGGUGCUCGAGUGGCGAACGGGUGAGUAACACGUGAGUAACCUGCCCUUGACUUUGGGAUAACUUCAGGAAACUGGGGCUAAUACCGGAUAGGAGCUCCUGCUGCAUGGUGGGGGUUGGAAAGUUUCGGCGGUCGGGGAUGGACUCGCGGCUUAUCAGCUUGUUGGUGGGGUAGUGGCUUACCAAGGCUUUGACGGGUAGCCGGCCUGAGAGGGUGACCGGCCACAUUGGGACUGAGAUACGGCCCAGACUCCUACGGGAGGCAGCAGUGGGGAAUAUUGCACAAUGGGCGGAAGCCUGAUGCAGCAACGCCGCGUGCGGGAUGACGGCCUUCGGGUUGUAAACCGCUUUCGCCUGUGACGAAGCGUGAGUGACGGUAAUGGGUAAAGAAGCACCGGCUAACUACGUG
RNAcentral lists this ribosomal RNA (467 nucleotides) under uncultured bacterium. RNAcentral's name for it is "partial 16S ribosomal RNA". It matches the Rfam family "Bacterial small subunit ribosomal RNA", at positions 29 to 507 of the family's 1533-position model. The record is from RNAcentral.